CCUACGGGAGGCAGCAGUGGGGAAUAUUGCACAAUGGGCGCAAGCCUGAUGCAGCAACGCCGCGUGAGGGACGACGGCCUUCGGGUUGUAAACCUCUUUUAGUAGGGAAGAAGCGAAAGUGACGGUACCUGCAGAAAAAGCACCGGCUAACUACGUGCCAGCAGCCGCGGUAAUACGUAGGGUGCAAGCGUUAUCCGGAAUUAUUGGGCGUAAAGAGCUCGUAGGCGGUUUGUCGCGUCUGCUGUGAAAACUGGAGGCUCAACCUCCAGCCUGCAGUGGGUACGGGCAAACUAGAGUGCGGUAGGGGAGAUUGGAAUUCCUGGUGUAGCGGUGGAAUGCGCAGAUAUCAGGAGGAACACCGAUGGCGAAGGCAGAUCUCUGGGCCGUAACUGACGCUGAGGAGCGAAAGCAUGGGGAGCGAACAGGAUUAGAUACCCUGGUAGUCCAUGCCGUAAACGUUGGGCGCUAGAUGUGGGGACCCAUUCCACGGUUUCCGUGUCGCGNGCUACGCAUAGUCGCCCGCCGUCGGGAGGUACGGCCGCGACGGACGAAACGUAACGUAAGUAGUUAAGUUAGUACGGUUCGUUGAGACGNGCCGACGGACGACGACGAGGGAGGAGG
RNAcentral lists this ribosomal RNA (621 nucleotides) under uncultured bacterium. RNAcentral describes it as "bacterial SSU rRNA". The stretch from base 1 to 524 matches the Rfam family "Bacterial small subunit ribosomal RNA", at positions 338 to 873 of the family's 1533-position model. The record is from RNAcentral.